GGCUUAACACAUGCAAGUCGAGGGGCAGCAUGGUCUUAGCUUGCUAAGGCCGAUGGCGACCGGCGCACGGGUGAGUAACACGUAUCCAACCUGCCGUCUACUCUUGGACAGCCUUCUGAAAGGAAGAUUAAUACAAGAUGGCAUCAUGAGUCCGCAUGUUCACAUGAUUAAAGGUAUUCCGGUAGACGAUGGGGAUGCGUUCCAUUAGAUAGUAGGCGGGGUAACGGCCCACCUAGUCUUCGAUGGAUAGGGGUUCUGAGAGGAAGGUCCCCCACAUUGGAACUGAGACACGGUCCAAACUCCUACGGGAGGCAGCAGUGAGGAAUAUUGGUCAAUGGGCGAGAGCCUGAACCAGCCAAGUAGCGUGAAGGAUGACUGCCCUAUGGGUUGUAAACUUCUUUUAUAAAGGAAUAAAGUCGGGUAUGGAUACCCGUUUGCAUGUACUUUAUGAAUAAGGAUCGGCUAACUCCGUGCCAGCAGCCGCGGUAAUACGGAGGAUCCGAGCGUUAUCCGGAUUUAUUGGGUUUAAAGGGAGCGUAGAUGGAUGUUUAAGUCAGUUGUGAAAGUUUGCGGCUCAACCGUAAAAUUGCAGUUGAUACUGGAUAUCUUGAGUGCAGUUGAGGCAGGCGGAAUUCGUGGUGUAGCGGUGAAAUGCUUAGAUAUCACGAAGAACUCCGAUUGCGAAGGCAGCCUGCUAAGCUGCAACUGACAUUGAGGCUCGAAAGUGUGGGUAUCAAACAGGAUUAGAUACCCUGGUAGUCCACACGGUAAACGAUGAAUACUCGCUGUUUGCGAUAUACUGCAAGCGGCCAAGCGAAAGCGUUAAGUAUUCCACCUGGGGAGUACGCCGGCAACGGUGAAACUCAAAGGAAUUGACGGGGGCCCGCACAAGCGGAGGAACAUGUGGUUUAAUUCGAUGAUACGCGAGGAACCUUACCCGGGCUUAAAUUGCAGAUGAAUUACGGUGAAAGCCGUAAGCCGCAAGGCAUCUGUGAAGGUGCUGCAUGGUUGUCGUCAGCUCGUGCCGUGAGGUGUCGGCUUAAGUGCCAUAACGAGCGCAACCCUUGUUGUCAGUUACUAACAGGUUCCGCUGAGGACUCUGACAAGACUGCCAUCGUAAGAUGUGAGGAAGGUGGGGAUGACGUCAAAUCAGCACGGCCCUUACGUCCGGGGCUACACACGUGUUACAAUGGGGGGUACAGAGGGCCGCUACCACGCGAGUGGAUGCCAAUCCCCAAAACCUCUCUCAGUUCGGACUGGAGUCUGCAACCCGACUCCACGAAGCUGGAUUCGCUAGUAAUCGCGCAUCAGCCACGGCGCGGUGAAUACGUUCCCGGGCCUUGUACACACCGCCCGUCAAGCCAUGGGAGCCGGGGGUACCUGAAGUGCGUAACCGCGAGGAGCGCCCUAGGGUAAAACUGGUGACUGGGGCUAAGA
RNAcentral lists this ribosomal RNA (1437 nucleotides) under uncultured organism. RNAcentral describes it as "SSU rRNA". It matches the Rfam family "Bacterial small subunit ribosomal RNA". The record is from RNAcentral.